AGCCCCGUGGGGUAGUGGUCAAUCCUGCGGGCCUUUGGAGCCCGCGACGCCGGUUCGAAUCCGGCCGGGGCUACCA
This 76-nucleotide transfer RNA is filed under the name Hadesarchaea archaeon. Its description in RNAcentral is "tRNA-Gln". It matches the Rfam family "tRNA". From Rfam's summary of the family: Transfer RNA (tRNA) molecules are approximately 80 nucleotides in length. Their secondary structure includes four short double-helical elements and three loops (D, anti-codon, and T loops). Lineage: Archaea; Methanobacteriati; Hadarchaeota (SeqCode); Hadarchaeia (SeqCode). RNAcentral also lists the same sequence under 1 other name. The record is from RNAcentral.